UACGUAGGGGGCGAGCGUUUGUCCGGAUUUAUUGGGCGUAAAGAGCUCGUAGGCGGUUUCGUAAGUCGGAUGUGAAAACUCCAGGCUCAACUUGGAGACGCCAUUCGAUACUGCGAUGACUUGAGUCCGGUAGGGGAGUGUGGAAUUCCUGGUGUAGCGGUGAAAUGCGCAGAUAUCAGGAGGAACACCGGUGGCGAAGGCGGUUCUCUGGGCAUGUCCUGACGCUGAGGAGCGAAAGUGUGGGGAGCGAACAGG
This 255-nucleotide ribosomal RNA is filed under the name uncultured bacterium. RNAcentral describes it as "partial 16S ribosomal RNA". It matches the Rfam family "Bacterial small subunit ribosomal RNA", at positions 524 to 776 of the family's 1533-position model. The record is from RNAcentral.